This 253-nucleotide ribosomal RNA is filed under the name uncultured bacterium. Its description in RNAcentral is "partial 16S ribosomal RNA". It matches the Rfam family "Bacterial small subunit ribosomal RNA", at positions 524 to 776 of the family's 1533-position model. RNAcentral also lists the same sequence under 1 other name. The record is from RNAcentral.
UACGUAGGGGGCGAGCGUUGUCCGGAAUCAUUGGGCGUAAAGAGCGUGUAGGCGGCUUGGAAAGUCUUACGUGAAAGCCUGCGGCUCAACCGCAGAAGUGCGUAGGAAACUUCCUCGCUAGAGUCCGGAAGAGGAGAGCGGAAUUCCUGGUGUAGCGGUGGAAUGCGCAGAUAUCAGGAGGAACACCCGUGGCGAAGGCGGCUCUCUGGGACGGUACUGACGCUGAGACGCGAAAGCGUGGGGAGCGAACAGG